RNAcentral lists this ribosomal RNA (410 nucleotides) under uncultured microorganism. Its description in RNAcentral is "bacterial SSU rRNA". It matches the Rfam family "Bacterial small subunit ribosomal RNA", at positions 509 to 917 of the family's 1533-position model. The record is from RNAcentral.
CUGCCGCCGCGGUAAUACGUAGGGUGCGAGCGUUAAUCGGAUUUACUGGGCGUAAAGCGUGCGCAGGCGGCCCGUUAAGACAGGUGUGAAAUCCCUGGGCUCAACCUAGGAAUUGCGCUUGUGACUGGCGGGCUCGAGUACGGUAGAGGGGGGUGGAAUUCCUGGUGUAGCAGUGAAAUGCGUAGAGAUCAGGAGGAACACCGAUGGCGAAGGCAGCCCCCUGGGCCUGUACUGACGCUCAUGCACGAAAGCGUGGGGAGCAAACAGGAUUAGAUACCCUGGUAGUCCACGCCCUAAACGAUGGGUACUAGCCGUUUGGUGCGCGAUAGCGCUGAGUGGCGAAGCUAACGCGUGAAGUACCCCGCCUGGGGAGUACGGCCGCAAGGUUGAAACUUAAAGGAAUUGGCGGG